GUAAUAUAAACAAAUAAGUAAAUAUGUUCAUUAUUUAUCUUUCAAGAGAUAAUGUAGGUAUACAUUAUAAUAACAUUUUGACACAGUCGAAAUUAUAUUCCUAACAUUAGUAAAAUAACAUUUUAAUAUUUUUUUUAUAGGUUAUGUAUUGAAAUUGUUGGAAAAUUAUUUCAUGUUUUAGCUGGAAAACUACAUGGAGAAUUAUAUGCAAUACAAGAUAAUGAGCUCCAUUAAAUGAAUUCGAAUGAAACCAAACUGUUUACCAUCCAAAUUCGAUUGUCGGGCAGAUAGAAAACGAAAAUUCACUCAUAGUGAACCUCGGCCUGCAUUUGUGAAACGGCAAAGACUCACUAUUAUCAAGGAAAUUAAAGAGACAACUAAAAAUGAGAUGUGUCGUAUUAUUAUACCUUUGCCAUCUUGUAGUCAAGAUGUCCAGCCACUUGAAAAUAGGUGUAGUAAUGACAAAGCUAUCCAAGUAGCUCCAGCACAGGAACACAAAGGCAAGGCAAGUGUGUAUUGCCACAUCACCCCUUAAUAUAUCUGAAGCAAGUAUAAGUAAACAAUCAGAACCAGCAAAAAAAAAAAAAUGUUGUUCCUGAGGACAAAUUUGACAGUGAUGAGUCAAAUGCACCAGCAACAGAAGGAUCAACUGUUGACUAUGAGUUAUCUCUCUAUAUCUCCACUCCAUCAAAGACUUGUGCACUUCAGACUAUAGUUCUCAAGAAGACUAAAAAGUUGAAAAAAUGAAUGUGUUAACAACUUUAUCUAAAGUGAAAAAUAAACAACGUUUAUAUAUUGGUCUUCCACAAGAAUUAUGUUUCAUAAUAGGCUUGAUUGAGAAACAUACAAAUGUUUCUGAAUAAAAUAUUAUAUUAUGUCUGAUGAGAAUAACAUUAAAUAGAACAUUCUCUCAAUUGGCUGAUGAUUUCGAUUUAUCUGUAAGUCAAGCAAGCAAUAUAUUUUUCAACAAACUCCCAGAAAUUGCAAAUGUAAUAUCACCCCUUGUUAGACUAUAAAAAAAACAAUACAAUAAAUAUAUAUGCAGGAAGGAUAAUUGAUGUCAACUUGGUGGAAAAUAGAAAGUUUUUAGAUAGUUUGCCACCUACAAAACUCUUUAAUUAAAUAAGUAAUCCUUACUUAUAAAUAGGAAGUUUUGUAAGUAUUUUCACUCUUCAUUCAAAAACUACUGAACAGAUUUUAAUAAGACUUUUAUGCUGGUCUUCUAUGGCUAGCAACUCAUUAUUAUUUUGAUUCUGUUUUCCACAAAUGUGCUAAAUAUGGGCUUAUAUAUAUGAAAAGGAAUAAAUAUUAAUGUUAUGUAACCUUUGUACCUGUAUGUUAAGAAUAAUUUUUAAUAAAACAUAAUUUAAAUUGAAA
This is a long non-coding RNA of Bombyx mori (domestic silkworm), 1377 nucleotides long. RefSeq lists it as uncharacterized. The transcript has 2 exons. Lineage: Eukaryota; Metazoa; Arthropoda; Insecta; Lepidoptera; Bombycidae. The record is from RefSeq and is a predicted model, not a curated record.